GAAGACCCAUCCAAUUGGCGGGUGGGUUGAGGGGAGGAUGGCAUCAAGGAAAUCUUCCUGGAGGAGGGGCUGAUUAUUCCCAUUCUGAGAACUGGUAGAUCCUGGAUGGAACUGGAGGGAAGGAUGGUUUCCAGGACUGGUCCCCUGCCCCACUCCUCACCUCCAACAAGACCCCUGCAGCAUCCCCCACCCAGGCCCUGUCUGCAUCCUCUCCUUCCCUCUGGUCCCAGGAAUACCGAGUCAUGAGGGAGAUCCUGCUGCUCCAGGAGGCUGCAAAGAAUUACAAGCUAGAGCCCGAGGGAGCGAUUUGGGGCCUCGUUCCAGGACAUGGAGUUGCUCAACGAGAAUGAGAGGUGAGGCCGGGCAGGAGUUGGGUGAGGGCAGGGGUGGACUCUCCCUGUUGGCCAGUCCAGAGAGCCUGUCUCCAUGGUGCCCCACUCAUCCCCCGGCCUGAUUACAUGGUGAUCUCUGGGACACCCAGACUCCAGCUGCUGGGCAGGCAGUGGGGGGACCCCUGAGGUGUGGUUCCUGGUAGGCUCACAGGUGCCUCUCUGUCCUGUAGCUACACCUUGUCCUGCCAGCCAGAGCGUUAGACCUAGUUGGCCUGCAGAGUACGCAAGGCCAAGAAGAACCGGCCAUCAUCAAGGUCAGGGCCCCCAGGCCCCAACCCCGAACCCCAUACCAGUGGCCGAUCACAGCCCCAUCCUCAGCAGCGGGGACACAGCUGGGAUGCUUGCGAUGCACAGGGUCAGCUCCUCCCAUUUGAUGGGAAGGGGAGCAUUGUAAGCUGAUUCCUGGGGUCCCCUGAAGCCCAAGAGAGAAGGGAUGACCCCAUCCCAGCUCCCUGACAUCUCUACCUCAGCACCUACUCACCCAUUGGGGAGAGACAGUGGUUAUUUGUUGUAAAUAAUAAAUGACAUAUUUGAAUAUUAUAUUAAAGUCCUGUUCCCUUUACA
This is a long non-coding RNA of Diceros bicornis minor, 956 nucleotides long. RefSeq lists it as uncharacterized. NCBI's taxonomy places the organism in Eukaryota, Metazoa, Chordata, Mammalia, Perissodactyla, Rhinocerotidae. The transcript has 2 exons. The record is from RefSeq and is a predicted model, not a curated record.